CAAAAUGCCAAGGUCAUGACAGGCAAGCAAAGAUUGAAGAAAGCUUCCAGAUUAAAGAAGACUGAGGAAACUCAACAGCCAAAUGCUCUCAGCCUCCUGUGUGCAAGCAGAGUUGCUAUGGUGCCAUCGCUUGUACUUGCAUCUGACACUUCUGCGUUAGAGACCACCAGUCAAAAUCCUCAGUGGGCUUACGAGCAGAAUCCAGACCCAUCUCAGCCCCCAUCCGCUCCCACCUACCAUCUGGAUCUCCCUGCAGUGAUGGGAGCAGCAGGAGAAAGCAGAAAGAAACAUCUCCCCGCCCCCACCCCCUCCACCAUUAACUGCUGCAACCACCAGAAGCAGGAUCUAGAAAAAGAAGCCCCGAAGUCAUGAUUUUCCUCCAUUUUCCGCACCUUGCUGACCUGACAAGAACUUUAAGAGAUCCUCUGCCAUGCUGUGAACUGCUCUAUGGAGAGCCUCAUGUGGAAAGGAACUGAUGUCUCCAGCCAACAGCCACAUGAAUGAAUUUAGAAGUGGAUCUUCCAUCAUUUGAGACUUGAGAUGACAGCAGUCCCAGACAAGCCCUUAACUGCAAACUUGUGAGAGGCCCUGAGCCAGAGAGAGACUUCUCUUCCUGAAGAGUCUAAGCCAUUCAACAAAACACAUACCAGGACGGUGAACUCACCUAAAUAGGAAGACCUUGGAACAAGCUCCUCAGCUAGUAGGAUUCAUCGCCUGAUUGGACCCAAAGCUGUUCCACAAUUUGGAUUGAAAUAAGCAAUUUUUAACCAGUAGGUCAUUAAUGUGGUUACAGGGUUGACUGAAUUGACCUACCAAUUCAACCAAGUAGGUUAGUAGGAAAUUAGUCUAAAUAUUAAAAAUUAAUUGUGAAGAAGCAUUUUCCUUACUGAUUGCAUAAACCCCCUCAUUAACUCAUUGUCUUCACCAAUUGUGAUUGUAUACUUUCAAGUGUUUC
This 955-nucleotide long non-coding RNA is filed under the name Equus caballus (horse). Its description in RNAcentral is "lncRNA (ENSECAG00000048196.1)". Lineage: Eukaryota; Metazoa; Chordata; Mammalia; Perissodactyla; Equidae. The record is from RNAcentral.